AUUGAACGCUGGCGGCAGGCCUAACACAUGCAAGUCGAACGGUAGCACAGAGAGCUUGCUCUCGGGUGACGAGUGGCGGACGGGUGAGUAACGUCUGGGAAACUGCCCGAUGGAGGGGGAUAACUACUGGAAACGGUAGCUAAUACCGCAUAACGUCGCAAGACCAAAGUGGGGGACCUUCGGGACUCACACCCUCGGAUGUGCCCAGAUGGGAUUAGCUAGUAGGUGGGGUAAUGGCUCACCUAGGCGACGAUCCCUAGCUGGUCUGAGAGGAUGACCAGCCACACUGGAACUGAGACACGGUCCAGACUCCUACGGGAGGCAGCAGUGGGGAAUAUUGCACAAUGGGCGCAAGCCUGAUGCAGCCAUGCCGCGUGUAUGAAGAAGGCCUUCGGGUUGUAAAGUACUUUCAGCGGGGAGGAAGGCGGUGAAGUUAAUAGCUUCACCGAUUGACGUUACCCGCAGAAGAAGCACCGGCUAACUCCGUGCCAGCAGCCGCCGUAA
This 504-nucleotide ribosomal RNA is filed under the name uncultured bacterium. Its description in RNAcentral is "partial 16S ribosomal RNA". It matches the Rfam family "Bacterial small subunit ribosomal RNA", at positions 30 to 523 of the family's 1533-position model. The record is from RNAcentral.